This 73-nucleotide transfer RNA is filed under the name Felis catus (domestic cat). It matches the Rfam family "tRNA". Rfam says of the family: Transfer RNA (tRNA) molecules are approximately 80 nucleotides in length. Their secondary structure includes four short double-helical elements and three loops (D, anti-codon, and T loops). Further hydrogen bonds mediate the characteristic L-shaped molecular structure. tRNAs have two regions of fundamental functional importance: the anti-codon, which is responsible for specific mRNA codon recognition, and the 3' end, to which the tRNAs corresponding amino acid is attached (by aminoacyl-tRNA synthetases). tRNAs cope with the degeneracy of the genetic code in two manners: having more than one tRNA (with a specific anti-codon) for a particular amino acid; and 'wobble' base-pairing, i.e. permitting non-standard base-pairing at the 3rd anti-codon position. Lineage: Eukaryota; Metazoa; Chordata; Mammalia; Carnivora; Felidae. The record is from Rfam by way of RNAcentral.
GGCUGGCUGGCUGAGUUGGCAGAACAUGUGACUCUUGAUCUCAGGGUCAUGAGUUCAAGCCUCAUGUUAGGCA